RNAcentral lists this ribosomal RNA (636 nucleotides) under uncultured fungus. RNAcentral describes it as "eukaryotic LSU rRNA". The stretch from base 240 to 392 matches the Rfam family "5.8S ribosomal RNA". The record is from RNAcentral. Lineage: Eukaryota; Fungi.
UCCGUAGGUGAACCUGCGGAAGGAUCAUUAAAUAAUCAAUAAUCUUGGCUUGUCCAUUAUUAUCUAUUUACUGUGAACUGUAUUAUUAUUUGACGUUUGAGGGAUGUUCCAAUGUUAUAAGGAUAGACAUUGGAGAUGUUAACCGAGUCAUAAUCAGGUUUAGGCCUGGUAUCCUAUUAUUAUUUACCAAAUGAAUUCAGAAUUAAUAUUGUAACAUAGACCUAAAAAAUCUAUAAAACAACUUUUAACAACGGAUCUCUUGGUUCUCGCAUCGAUGAAGAACGUAGCAAAGUGCGAUAACUAGUGUGAAUUGCAUAUUCAGUGAAUCAUCGAGUCUUUGAACGCAACUUGCGCUCAUUGGUAUUCCAAUGAGCACGCCUGUUUCAGUAUCAAAACAAACCCUCUAUCCAACUUUUGUUGUAUAGGAUUAUUGGGGGCCUCUCGAUCUGUAUAGAUCUUGAAACCCUUGAAAUUUACUAAGGCCUGAACUUGUUUAAUGCCUGAACUUUUUUUUAAUAUGAAGGAAAGCUCUUGUAAUUGACUUUGAUGGGGCCUCCCAAAUAAAUCUUUUUUAAAUUUGGUCUGAAAUCAGGUGGGAUUACCCGCUGAACUUAAGCAUAUCAAUAAGCGGAGGAA